AUAUAAUAUCUGCAUUACGUGCAGUCUGUUAUCAAUACCUCUGAUUGAAUACUAUUUAAAAGCCAGAGAAAAUUUAAAGACCAUCUAAAAGUUGUUGGGACGUUAUAGAAAAUAUUCGAUUAACUUCAUCUAUAUAAUCAGUGUAUAUCAUACUCAUAAUUCCUGAAAGUGAAGAAAGUGAAUGCUUCCCAUUGAAGUACUUUCUGAAAGCCACAGCCACAACAUUCUUGCUAAACAAGGAUUAUCAAGAAUAAAUGAAUGAAAUUUACUGACAAGACCUAAUUCAAAUAAAAUCCCAUCAAAGAUCAACCAGGUCGUCAAAUAUACAACAACUUGAUAUUCCAAGAACAAAUCUCACAUAGUGUGGUGAUAGGGCUUUCUCUGUUGCAGCACUAGUCCUUUGGAACAAGGGCUUUCUGUUGCAGCACCAGUCCUUUGGAGCAAGCUACCUUAAUAUGUGAAAGAAGAAGGAACUAUUCCAGAAUUCAAAAAGAGACUGAAGAACAUAUCUUUACUUCAAUAUAACAAUUUAUAUGGUGACUCUGAAAAGACUAAUAUGAGAAAAUGAAUUGAAAUGAGAUUUAACAUCCUACUUUUUUGCAUCAACUGGGGAAAUAGGAAGUGAUAUUGAUAAGCAUGUUGCUUGUUUUCGUAUCCUUUAGACUCUACAAUUAUAUGUAAUUAUAUUGAAUAAAAUAUUGUUUAAACCAACUGGGCAAAUGAAGAUAGAGAUUUAUUUGGAGAGCGAGAAAAGGAUACAGUUUGAUUAAAUCCAAAUAUUAUGAUUCAAGCCAGUGGGAAUUGGGCUUUAGUGACUCUUGUAUCAAAUGAAAUGGGGUUUAAAGUCCUACUGUUCUGCUCUUAAACUGGGCUAAUGAAGAUGGGACUCUUGUAUUAUUCCAUCCAGACAUUUUGUGGUGUAAGUCAUUAGACAAAUAAAUCAUGAGAGAUCGUUUUUUGGCUCCAGUACUAUUUCUCAGUGCCAUGAACAUAAGACAUAGAGCCUAGAAAAAAUUGAGUUUGAUCACUUCAAACAUUUCUUUGUGUGUAUUUUGCUAGUAAGUCUUGCUAUGCUAUAGUGAAUUACACUUUUAUAGAAGCGUUUUAUGCAUGAACGUUACAU
This is a long non-coding RNA of Patella vulgata (common limpet), 1123 nucleotides long. RefSeq lists it as uncharacterized. The transcript has 3 exons. Lineage: Eukaryota; Metazoa; Mollusca; Gastropoda; Patellidae. The record is from RefSeq and is a predicted model, not a curated record.